GAUGAACGCUGGCGGCGUGCCUAAUACAUGCAAGUCGAGCGAACGGACGAGAAGCUUGCUCCUCUGAUGUUAUCGGCGGACGGGUGAGUAACAUGUGGAUAACCUACCUAUAAGACUGGGAUAAUUUCGGGAAACCGGAGCUAAUACCGGAUAAUAUUUUGAACUGCAUGGUUCAAAAGUGAAAGACGGUCUUGCUGUCACUUAUAGACGGAUCCGCGCUGCAUUAGCUAGUUGGUAAGGUAACGGCUUACCAAGGCAACGAUGCAUAGCCGACCUGAGAGGGUGAUCGGCCACACUGGAACUGAGACACGGUCCAGACUCCUACAGGAGGCCGCAGUAGGGAAUCUUACGCAAUGGGCGAAAGCCUGACAGAGCAACGCCGCGUGAGUGAUGAAGGUCUUCGGAUCGUAGAACUCUGUUAUUAGGGAAGAACAUAUGUGUAAGUAACUGUGCACAUCUUGACGGUACCUAAUCAGAAAGCCACGGCUAACUACGUG
This 497-nucleotide ribosomal RNA is filed under the name uncultured bacterium. RNAcentral's name for it is "partial 16S ribosomal RNA". It matches the Rfam family "Bacterial small subunit ribosomal RNA", at positions 28 to 507 of the family's 1533-position model. The record is from RNAcentral.